Molecule: ribosomal RNA, 470 nt
Filed under: Adelotus brevis
Lineage: Eukaryota; Metazoa; Chordata; Amphibia; Anura; Limnodynastidae
Description: partial 16S ribosomal RNA
Rfam family: Bacterial large subunit ribosomal RNA
Source: RNAcentral
GACCCUGUUCAACGGCCGCGGUAUCCUGACCGUGCGAAGGUAGCGUAAUCACUUGUUCUUUAAAUAAGGACUGGUAUGAAUGGCAUCACGAGGGUUAUGCUGUCUCCCCUUUCUAAUCAAUGAAACUAAUCUCCCCGUGAAGAAGCGAGGAUAACACUAUAAGACGAGAAGACCCCAUGGAGCUUAAGACAAACAGCAUAUGCUAACAUCCCACCUAGCCAAGCAUUUUGACUAUUAGUCUUCGGUUGGGGCGACCAUGGAGAACAGCACAUCCUCCACGCUGAAAGAACCCCGUUCUUAACCACAAGCUACACCUUUAAGUACUAACACCUUAACAUCCAUUGACCCAAUAAUAUUGACCAACGAACCUAGUUACCCUGGGGAUAACAGCGCAAUCCAUUUCAAGAGCCCCUAUCGACAAAUGGGUUUACGACCUCGAUGUUGGAUCAGGGUAUCCUAGUGGUGCAGCC